UACGUAGGGAGCAAGCGUUGUCCGGAAUCAUUGGGCGUAAAGCGCGUGUAGGCGGUUACAUAAGUCUGUUGUGAAAGUCGGAGGCUCAACCUUCGAAAGCCGAUGGAUACUGUGUGACUUGAGUACGGAAGAGGAGAGUGGAAUUCCUGGUGUAGCGGUGAAAUGCGCAGAUAUCAGGAGGAACACCAACGGCGAAGGCGGGUUGCUGGGCUGACACUGACGCUGAGGCGCGAAAGCUAGGGGAGCGAACGGG
This 253-nucleotide ribosomal RNA is filed under the name uncultured bacterium. RNAcentral describes it as "partial 16S ribosomal RNA". It matches the Rfam family "Bacterial small subunit ribosomal RNA", at positions 524 to 776 of the family's 1533-position model. The record is from RNAcentral.